AGGAUCAUUACACAAAUAUGAAGGCGGGCUGGAAUCUCUCGGGGUUACAGCCUUGCUGAAUUAUUCACCCUUGUCUUUUGCGUACUUCUUGUUUCCUUGGUGGGUUCGCCCACCACUAGGACAAACAUAAACCUUUUGUAAUUGCAAUCAGCGUCAGUAACAAAUUAAUAAUUACAACUUUCAACAACGGAUCUCUUGGUUCUGGCAUCGAUGAAGAACGCAGCGAAAUGCGAUAAGUAGUGUGAAUUGCAGAAUUCAGUGAAUCAUCGAAUCUUUGAACGCACAUUGCGCCCUUUGGUAUUCCAAAGGGCAUGCCUGUUCGAGCGUCAUUUGUACCCUCAAGCUUUGCUUGGUGUUGGGCGUCUUGUCUCUAGCUUUGCUGGAGACUCGCCUUAAAGUAAUUGGCAGCCGGCCUACUGGUUUCGGAGCGCAGCACAAGUCGCACUCUCUAUCAGCAAAGGUCUAGCAUCCAUUAAGCCUUUUUUCAACUUUUGACCUCGGAUCAGGUAGGGAUACCCGCUGAACUUAAGCAUAUCAAUAAGCGGAGGAA
Molecule: ribosomal RNA, 550 nt
Filed under: Alternaria sp. JF-Alt17
Lineage: Eukaryota; Fungi; Ascomycota; Dothideomycetes; Pleosporales; Pleosporaceae
Also listed under: 1 other name
Description: eukaryotic LSU rRNA
Rfam family: 5.8S ribosomal RNA (bases 176-329)
Source: RNAcentral